GACGAACGCUGGCGGCGUGCCUAAUACAUGCAAGUAGAACGCACAGUUUAUACCGUAGCUUGCUACACCAUAGACUGUGAGUUGCGAACGGGUGAGUAACGCGUAGGUAACCUGCCUGGUAGCGGGGGAUAACUAUUGGAAACGAUAGCUAAUACCGCAUAAUAUUAAUUAUUGCAUGAUAAUUAAUUGAAAGGUGCAAUUGCACCACUACUAGAUGGACCUCCGUUGUAUUAGCUAGUAGGUGAGGUAACGGCUCACCUAGGCGACGAUACAUAGCCGACCUGAGGGGGUGAACGGCCCACAUGGGAAUGGGACACGGCCCAGACUCCUACGGGGGGCAGCAGUAGGGAAUCAUCGGAAAUGGACGAAAGUCUGGCCGAGCCACGACGCGUGAGUGAAGGAGGUUUUCGGAUCGUAAAGCUCUGUUGUAAGAGAAGAACGGGUGUGAGAGUGGAAAGUUCACACUGUGACGGUAUCUUACCAGAAAGGGACGGCUAACUACGUG
This 505-nucleotide ribosomal RNA is filed under the name uncultured bacterium. Its description in RNAcentral is "partial 16S ribosomal RNA". It matches the Rfam family "Bacterial small subunit ribosomal RNA", at positions 28 to 507 of the family's 1533-position model. The record is from RNAcentral.